This 715-nucleotide ribosomal RNA is filed under the name uncultured bacterium. Its description in RNAcentral is "bacterial SSU rRNA". It matches the Rfam family "Bacterial small subunit ribosomal RNA", at positions 789 to 1501 of the family's 1533-position model. The record is from RNAcentral.
GGUAGUCCACGCCGUAAACGAUGCGAACUGGAUGUUGGGUGCACUUCUGGCACGCAGUAUCGAAGCUAACGCGUUAAGUUCGCCGCCUGGGGAGUACGGUCGCAAGACUGAAACUCAAAGGAAUUGACGGGGGCCCGCACAAGCGGUGGAGCAUGUGGUUUAAUUCGAUGCAACGCGAAGAACCUUACCUGGCCUUGACAUCCAGAGAACUUAGCAGAGAUGCUUUGGUGCCUUCGGGAACUCUGAGACAGGUGCUGCAUGGCUGUCGUCAGCUCGUGUUGUGAAAUGUUGGGUUAAGUCCCGCAACGAGCGCAACCCUUAUCCUUUGUUGCCAGCGAUUCGGUCGGGAACUCAAAGGAGACUGCCGGUGAUAAACCGGAGGAAGGUGGGGAUGACGUCAAGUCAUCAUGGCCCUUACGAGUAGGGCUACACACGUGCUACAAUGGCGCAUACAAAGAGAAGCGACCUCGCGAGAGCAAGCGGACCUCACAAAGUGCGUCGUAGUCCGGAUCGGAGUCUGCAACUCGACUCCGUGAAGUCGGAAUCGCUAGUAAUCGCAGAUCAGCAUUGCUGCGGUGAAUACGUUCCCGGGCCUUGUACACACCGCCCGUCACACCAUGGGAGUUUGUUGCACCAGAAGCAGGUAGCUUAACCUUCGGGAGGGCGCUUGCCACGGUGUGGCCGAUGACUGGGGUGAAGUCGUAACAAGGUAACC